Molecule: transfer RNA, 74 nt
Filed under: Streptococcus pneumoniae
Lineage: Bacteria; Bacillati; Bacillota; Bacilli; Lactobacillales; Streptococcaceae
Description: tRNA-Asn(gtt)
Rfam family: tRNA
About the family: Transfer RNA (tRNA) molecules are approximately 80 nucleotides in length.
Source: RNAcentral
UCCGCCAUAGAUCAGUUGGUAGUAGCGCAUGACUGUUAAUCAUGAUGUCGUAGGUUCGAGUCCUACUGGCGGAG